UACAGAGGGUGCAAGCGUUAAUCGGAAUUACUGGGCGUAAAGCGUGCGUAGACGGUUAUGUAAGUCAGGUGUGAAAGCCCAGGGCUCAACCUUGGAAUUGCAUUUGAGACUGCGUAGCUAGGGUGCGGAAGAGGGAAGCGGAAUUUCCGGUGUAGCGGUGAAAUGCGUAGAUAUCGGAAGGAACACCAGUGGCGAAGGCGGCUCACUGGCCCGAUACUGACGCUGAGGCACGAAAGCGUGGGGAGCAAACAGG
Molecule: ribosomal RNA, 253 nt
Filed under: uncultured bacterium
Lineage: Bacteria
Description: partial 16S ribosomal RNA
Rfam family: Bacterial small subunit ribosomal RNA
Source: RNAcentral